This 1047-nucleotide long non-coding RNA is filed under the name Homo sapiens (human). RNAcentral's name for it is "non-protein coding lnc-NBPF6-2:5". Lineage: Eukaryota; Metazoa; Chordata; Mammalia; Primates; Hominidae. The record is from RNAcentral.
AGAGAGCCGGAAGUGAGGGAGCUGGGAGCUGGGUCUCGGGAGGUGCUGUGCGGACCCGGGGUCGACCUCUGCCCAGUUGCCAGUCCCGCUGUCAGCAUGCGGGUCCGAGGAAGAGGCCCCCAGCAGGUCCAGGGCUGCAGCGUCAGCGCGUCGGUGGCUUGGGAGCGGGGUCUUGAAGACUGGUUACUCCACUUAAAGACCCUCUCGGGCCGGAGCCUUGGCGGUCAGCCCAGAGCUGCUUCUCUCUGCCUGGAAACUGGGCCAUGGAGGGCAUUGUCUCUCACGGAUGUCUAAUUUUUUCGUGGUUGCACACCUGGGAUGGCGAUUCUGCUUUAAAAAGCAGAGAGUUAAAUCCUAAAGCAUCUAUUGGAGCAAUUAUAAAACAAAAAGGAGAAACUCCUGGAUUUGUUGCAGAAAAGAUCAACAGCCAUCUGCGUGGGCAACGGGGAAAAGAAGGACUAGUUUGGUAGGCAGCUUAGCUAGGAUUUGCCCGUGAUUAAGCGUAUAGAGUGUCUGCCAGCUGCACUUAUCAGAAAAAACCACAGCGCCCUCCUCCUUCUCAAGAUGGGUGCAGUUCCGAGGUUUGGAGCUUAUUACUCAGGCAAGACAGAACUUAUUACUGCCUAGCAUGGAAUAACGGAAGGAACAUUGGACUUAACAGAGAAAGUACCUAAUCCUUCAGGUGUGACAUAGCGUCUCCGGGUAGUCUCUCAUCAGUAAAAUGAGAAUAUAAAUAUCUGCCUUCACAACAAAGUUGUAUAUUAGGUGUGAAAGGUCUUAAUUCUCUAAGGCGCCAAUCAAAUGAGAUAUCAUUAAUUGUAAUAAUCCUGUUCAUUCACAGCUGCGUAAGAGGAACUAUUGUUGUACUGCUGUUUGCAGAAAAGAAGAUACCUCUGUACUUGUAAAUUAGGGUGUCUCACAUCUUCUGAAUCACUACACAGAAAUCAGUUCCAACAACAGCCAGGAACUCAGACCCUGAACUUACCUCUCCUCAUAUCAUUUUGUAUGUUUAAGAUAUGUAUGAAUCUAGAAUUUGUAAAUUAAGGG